UAAAAACAGGAAACACUGGGGGCAUGAUU
This 29-nucleotide non-coding RNA is filed under the name Mus musculus (house mouse). Lineage: Eukaryota; Metazoa; Chordata; Mammalia; Rodentia; Muridae. The record is from RNAcentral.